GCUCCAAAGCUUCUCCAUUACUCGCAUCCCACUGCCACGGAACACUCUCAAAGAACACAACAUCACGGCUGACAUGAAGUUUUCCUCGUUGUGGAUCAAACAAGCGAUGUGCUUUACAUCCCUCCUCAACACCGAAAUAAACCAUAGCCUGGCUUCGGUCAUCAAGCUUCUUCAAGUGUGGCUUUGUCACCUUGACAUGAGCAGUACAUCCGAAAACACGAAGAUGUCCAAGAUGUGGUUUUCUACCCAUCCAAACUUCAUACGGUGUACGUGUUCCCAUUGACUUUGGCUUUGUCACCUUGAGCAGUACAUCCGAAAACACGAAGAUGUCCAUGAUGUGGUUUUCUACCCAUCCAAACUUCAUACGGUGUACGUGUUCCCAUUGACUUUGUCGGCAAUCUAUUCAGUAGAUACACUAAAUGCCUCACUGCCUCCCCCCAAAAUCUUCCCGGAACACUCAUGCUCUUCAAAAGGGAUCGUGUCAUUGACAUCACAGUCCUGUUCCUCCACUCCACCACUCCAUUUUGCUGCGGCAAAUAUGGAGAUGUCAAGUGUCGAAUAAUACCUGCUUCUUCACAAACACGGCUAAGGGCCUUGGAGAGAAACUCCCCACCACGAUCAGUUCUGAGCUUUUUGAUCCGCUCCCCACACAUGUUCUUGGCUUCCGCUUUGAACUUGACAAAAGGUUUGAUACACUUCAUCCUACAGCCACAUCCAUUAUGAAGCAUCAUCGACAAUCAACAUAAAAUACCGACUACCUGCUGGAUCCCCCCAAAAUCUUCCCGGAACACUCAUGAUCUUCAAAAGGGAUCGUGUUAUUGACAUCACAGUCCUGUUCCUCCGCUCCACCACUCCAUUUUGCUGCGGCGAAUAUGGAGCUGGCUCUGCUGCCAUAUUUCGAUCCACCAACAACUUCAUGGAAUGAAAAUUAGCAUGGCCUAACCGAGCAUGCCACAACCACGCGGGUUCUUUCAAACUUGUCAACAAGCAUAAAGGUUUCGCAACUUGUAACUCAAUGCGAUAUAAACGAUUCAAAUGACGUUUUACCUUUAUGAUCAACUGCAACGGACUCUUCAU
This 1077-nucleotide long non-coding RNA is filed under the name Nicotiana benthamiana. RNAcentral describes it as "long non-coding RNA (NBEN_LNC031751)". The record is from RNAcentral. Lineage: Eukaryota; Viridiplantae; Streptophyta; Magnoliopsida; Solanales; Solanaceae.